UUUCCAGUCAAAUCAAAACAGCCUAAACGCCAUUACUAUUUCCAACUCUUCAUUUCAAAAACGUCAGGUCUGUUCAGAGGAUAGCAACUUCCAUGAAAUUUUCUUUAUUUUCUAUCUUUGCUGUUUCAUUUCGCCUUCAACAACUCUCUUCAGUUUGGAUUUUGUGGCCAUCUUACUUCUGGAGCAGUUUCGUUCAGCGUCUCCCUCACCAGAGUCGACUUUGAAACUUUAAUCACACCAUUCUGAUCCCGAUCUACUAUUCCUGACGCCGAUCUGAAAUUACUGGUAUCAAAGGCUGCAUUGAACUGUAUCGUCUCCCUUAUUGUCUCUCUGUCUUGUCCUUGAGUUCUAAUGCGCGUAAGGGUAAGCUUUUUUCCUCGCACUCCUUCAAGUUCCAUUAAUUAGCUCUGUAUUUUAUGGGAGAGAUCCCUUCUUGAUGUGAAUUUCCUCUCAUGGACCAUCUGAUUCCGCGAGCCCCAAAUAACCCAUAAGGCGCAGCAGAAUAAUCGGAUCUGCUCCUUUGUACCCUUGCCAAAGACCCAGGACAUUGCCGAAACACGUGGUAGUUGUCUUCUUCUUCAGAGUAGCAUCGGAGACAACUAGCAUUUGUGAUCACUCUUUUGUAUCUAAGAUUAGCUAGUGAAGAGAUAUAGUUCCAGGAAAUCUGCCAUAUAAGUAUUAAAUUUUUUUAUGGUAGUUGUAAAUUCCAUAAUUUCUUGUAGAAUUCUUUAGUUUCGGCCUGUAAUAAAUAAUUGUUAGGAUCCAAGCUAGCCUCUUGUAAUAGUUUGUAGGCGCUUCGAACUGAAAACUCGCCAGAGUGUUCACCUUUCCACACUUGCAUGUCCUCACAAUCUGUUCUCGCAAGAGGAAUCUGUAAUAUUUUUUGAGUGGUAUCUAUUUGGAAGGUUCAAUCCCUGGUAUCCAUCGGUCAGUCCAAAUAGAUAUUGCAUUUCCUCUCCCAACUCUCCAGUUUAGUCCUUUAAGAAGGAGUCCUUUCGCUGCCCAAAUGCUCCUUCAGGUAAGAGAUAAUCCAGAAAAUUCAAAUACGAAUCUAGAUCGAGGAAAAGAAAAAGUUCGGGAUUAGUAGAUUUUUGCUUACGAACAAGUAUCGAGAGUUAAGAGCUCGGAAGUCAGAUUUGGUCGGAGACACAUCACACUAUCAACCUCAAGAUCUUGGUACAUAAAGAAACUUUAUUUUGGAAAUCAAUGGCAUGUAUAAGCUAGUAAAGUAGAUGUAAAUGUGGAAUGAAUGUAUGGUUAGCCAUUAAUAUGGCUAACAAAUUUUGGUUUUGGCAUGUGAUGAGAUUAUCUUAUGAAUACAAUAAAUCUAUCUUGAAAAUA
Gossypium raimondii (Peruvian cotton) is the source of this 1341-nucleotide long non-coding RNA. RefSeq lists it as uncharacterized. The record is from RefSeq and is a predicted model, not a curated record. The transcript is spliced from 6 exons. NCBI's taxonomy places the organism in Eukaryota, Viridiplantae, Streptophyta, Magnoliopsida, Malvales, Malvaceae.